Molecule: long non-coding RNA, 1190 nt
Filed under: Helianthus annuus (common sunflower)
Lineage: Eukaryota; Viridiplantae; Streptophyta; Magnoliopsida; Asterales; Asteraceae
Source: RNAcentral
UCGCAUUAGGGUUUCAUCUUCUCUAAUACGCUUCUGCAUCUAGAUCUCAAAUCGAUGACAAGAUUUCAUCUUCUUCCCUAAGAUUCAUCGGUUUUCAUCUCUCAAUUUAGGGUUUCGACUAUAUAUUUCUUAUAAUCCGAAGAACACACAACCUUCAUUCGCAUCUAGGGUUUCUGUUUCUUCCAUCAUACACCUCCUUCUCAUCAUCCCUAAAUCUCAUUCCUGAAAGAUCAUCAAUACCAAGAUAGUCAAUUUCUUUCAUCACAGAUAGUCAAGAAGGUUUAUGGAGAUGAAGAUUGUUCGAUUUCUGGGUUCCAUCACAGGUAAAUCCCGUGGGAGGUUAAUCUACACCAUUCAGUCCUUUUUUUUGGAAUCAAACACGAAAAUAAUGGAUUGGAGAUAAAGGAUCCAGCUACAAAAGAAAGCUAGAAAAGCUGAUAUAAGGAUGGCUGAAUUUGAAAAUGUAAUGGAGUUGAAGGUCAUGAACGAUGAUGGAUUCGUGAUGAAUAUGCAUAUUGGGGCUGAACAUUCAGAGGGUUACAAGAGUGUCUCUCAUAGGCUUGACAUCGAUUACAGCUCCUUGAAAGCCCUAAGUCACACAUUUCAAUAAGUACAAGAUUGGAAGUUCAACAGUUCUUUUGUUUUUUUGUGUUCAAAGUUCAAAUACGGUUUGCAAGAGGGAGGAUGUUGUAUGCAAAUCGUAAGUAGAGGGUGGUUCAGGGGUUGGAAUAGGAAACUUUGGUGAGGUGGGACCAUUGGAUUAGCUUCUUUUGAUACAUCAAAGGUAUAUCGUUAAUUAGUUCCCCGUCACCUAUUUCCUUUGCUCGAUAGCGGGGAUUACAGAUUUCAACUGAGUCAAGUUUAUAUUAGCGAAAAAAGGUGCAUUAGGGACGAUAUGGAUCGCGCGCAUCUGGAUAGCUGCAUAAUUGGUGGCAAUUCAAUGCUAGAAGAUGCUAACAUUAAGGAUAUGAAGGAUGUGGAAGGUUUGAUCCGUCUCCCAGUCAAAGAUAACAACAGUCCACCAACCCAGAAAACAAAUUGAUGUGAUGUCUGUUGAAACUAAAGCUCUUCUUGACCCGCUUAACGGUUUGCCCAAGUAAGAAUAAAUUUUAUAUUUAAUCUGUUAACUAAAUGGAAUUUUUUGGGUGCGAAUUGACACGCAUAUUUAGUAUAAUGUGCCCAAACAUGUU